CACGUAGGGUGCGAGCGUUGUCCGGAAUUAUUGGGCGUAAAGAGCUCGUAGGCGGUGUGUCGCGUCGGCCGUGAAAACCUGCAGCUUAACCGUGGGCGUGCGGUCGAUACGGGCAUCACUGGAGUUCGGCAGGGGAGACUGGAAUUCCUGGUGUAGCGGUGAAAUGCGCAGAUAUCAGGAGGAACACCGGUGGCGAAGGCGGGUCUCUGGGCAUUAACUGACGCUGAGGAGCGAAAGCAUGGGGAGCGAACAGG
RNAcentral lists this ribosomal RNA (254 nucleotides) under uncultured bacterium. RNAcentral describes it as "partial 16S ribosomal RNA". It matches the Rfam family "Bacterial small subunit ribosomal RNA", at positions 524 to 776 of the family's 1533-position model. The record is from RNAcentral.